RNAcentral lists this ribosomal RNA (517 nucleotides) under uncultured bacterium. Its description in RNAcentral is "bacterial SSU rRNA". It matches the Rfam family "Bacterial small subunit ribosomal RNA", at positions 21 to 518 of the family's 1533-position model. The record is from RNAcentral.
GGCUCAGAACGAACGCUGGCGGCGUGCUUAACACAUGCAAGUCGAACGCGAAAGGGACUUCGGUCCUGAGUAAAGUGGCGCACGGGUGAGUAACGCGUAGAUAACCUGUCUUCAUGUCUGGAAUAAUACGCCGAAAGGGGUACUAAUACCGGAUAUUCUUGCUUUUCAUAAGUUAUGCAAGCAAAGGUGGCCUCUGCAUAUGCUACUGCAUGAAGAGGGGUCUGCGUACCAUUAGCUAGUAGGUGGGGUAAUGGCCUACCUAGGCGACGAUGGUUAGCGGGUCUGAGAGGGUGAUCCGCCACACUGGCACUGGAACACGGGCCAGACUCCUACGGGAGGCAGCAGUGAGGAAUAUUGCGCAAUGGGGGAAACCCUGACGCAGCGACGCCGCGUGAGUGAGGAAGGCCUUCGGGUCGUAAAGCUCUGUCAAGAGGAAAGAAGUGUACAAUGGCUAAUACCUGUUGUAUUUGACGGUACCUCUAAAGGAAGCACCGGCUAACUCCGUGCCAGCCGCGGC